This 6666-nucleotide unclassified non-coding RNA is filed under the name Haliotis rubra (blacklip abalone). Its description in RNAcentral is "ubiquitin carboxyl-terminal hydrolase 15-like, transcript variant X4". Lineage: Eukaryota; Metazoa; Mollusca; Gastropoda; Lepetellida; Haliotidae. The record is from RNAcentral.
UGGACUUCCCAAGAUGGCGGAAGGUGGACCACCGGAUUGUGAGACUCAGAAGUCAGAAAUAAGCAAUUUACUGAAACUGACCCUUAAAAAAGGCGAGACUUGGUACCUUGUGGACAUCAAAUGGUUUAAGCAGUGGAAGAAGUUUGUGGGCUACGACAGCUGGGACUCUUGUAGUGUGGGGGAUGAAAGCACAAACCCAGGACCUAUAGACAACUCUGCUCUUCUUAAAGACAAUGGUCAACUCAAGGAGCACCUUGUGGAUGACCUUGACUAUACGCUGUUCCCGGCUGAGGCCUGGAACAAGCUGUUGUCCUGGUACGGCAUCAUCGACGGACAGGACCCCAUCAGUAGGUGUGUUAUUGAGGACGGCAUGUAUCUGAAACAGCUAAAGGUGGAGGUAUAUCUCUACAAUAUAGUUCUCAGCCUGUAUGGCCAGCAAAGUAAAGAACAAUCACUGACGAGAGAUGUCAGUCGAGCAGCGACAAUAGCUGAGUUGGAGAAGCUGAUGAGACAGGAGUUCAGCAUCUCGGAGGACAAGGAGGUGAGGCUGUGGAACCGGUACAUGAGCUCCACCUACGAGCAUCUCAACAAACCUGACAACACACUGCAGGACGCAGGACUCUACCAGGGACAGGUGAUAGUGAUAGAGGAGAAGAAUGAGGAUGGUACCUGGCCUCGACAAGCCAAGAGCACAAGCAGCUACAACUCCACCGGCUCCUAUGAACGCUCGUCCUACACGACCCGGUCGGGUGGUGGCUAUGGCGGCAGCAGCUACGAUUCGGGCUACAGUUAUGGAAGCUAUGAUUCUGGUUACAGUAAAGGCAGUGGUGCUGCCAACCCUGGACUGUGUGGACUGGCCAACCUCGGAAACACCUGCUUCAUGAACUCAGCCCUGCAGUGUAUGAGCAACGUGCCACAGUUGACAGACCAUAUGAUGGAUGACAAGAAAUGGGAGAAGGAACUGAACGAGGACAACCCGCUUGGCAACAAGGGCGAGAUCGCCAAGUCGUAUGCUGAGCUCAUCAAGACCAUGUGGUCUGGGAGGUACAGCUACACAGUACCCAGGAACUUCAAGGUUGCUGUAGGCCGAUUUGCACCCCAGUUCUCUGGAUACCAACAGCAGGACUCGCAGGAGUUGAUGGCAUUCCUGCUUGACGGGCUUCAUGAAGACAUGAACAGAAUCCGGAAGAAGCCCUAUGUAGAGCUGAAAGAUGAUGACGGAAGGCCAGACUCAAUGGUGGCUGCUGAAGCUUGGGAGAAUUACCGCAAAAGGAAUGAUUCGAUAAUUGUUGACAUAUUUCAUGGACUUCUCAAAUCCACCGUGCAGUGUCCUGAGUGUUCAAAAAUCUCUGUGACCUUUGACCCAUUCUGUUACCUCUCACUGCCCCUUCCUAUCAAGAAAGAACGGCAGAUGGAAGUGUUCUGGGUGCCCCUUGCUCCCAAGGCGAAACCAGUGCAGUUCAAACUGACCGUUCCUAAGAUGGGAAUUGUUGGCGACAUAUGUAAGGCGUUGUCAUCCUUUGUUAAUGUCCCAUCAGAAAAGAUGGUUGUCACUGAUGUCUAUAACCACAGGUUUCACCGAGUCUUUGCCCUGGAGGAAGGUCUCAACCACAUCCUAGACAGAGAUGACAUAUUUGUAUACGAGGUGCCAGUGAAUACUGCUGAGGAUCCCAACACUCUCAUUGUUCCUAUCUAUCUACGGGAGAAACGGUCAUCAGGCAAGGAUGCCUAUGUGUCCAGCAACCAGUUGUUCGGUCAACCCCUCCUCCUACCAGUACCCAAGGGGACGUGUAGCUAUGAGGAACUCUAUACCCUGCUCCUGCAAAGAAUGUCACGUUAUGUGAAGACGCCAAAGCCAAGCGAGCAGUGGUGGGUGAAGUUGAAGAAGAGAGAGGAUCCCCAGGAGGAUGAGAAGGACAGCAAGGGGGACAUGGGAGGGGAUGGGGGAGACAACUCUUCAAACAACGCUGAUGAGAAGGAGACCCUAGAGAAUGAGGAGCCUCAAGUUAAUGGGGAGGUGAGCAGUAUGGACACCAAUGUAUCUGAUGACGAGUUGGAGACAGAUCGGGCUGCAGAGAAGAUGGGAGAAGAUGAGGAAGAGGAGGAGGAUGAAGGCCCUAGACGGCUGUUCACCUUCUCUCAGGUCAACUCAUAUGGCAGCAGCGAGCUGGACGGCAAACUGCUGGACGAUGGUCGGCCUCUCAAGCUUACAUCCAAGACCUACAUUGCUCUGGACUGGGAUCCUCUGGCUAAAGAAAAGUUUUAUAUUGAGAAAGAUGCUGAGGAUUUUGAGCAGCAUGACACCAUCCGGUACCGCAAUGUGCCCAAGAGGCAGGCCAUCCAGCUCAAUGACUGCCUCAAGAUCUUCACAGAUGCAGAGAAACUCAGCGAACAUGACCCAUGGUACUGCCCGUCUUGUAAGCGCCACCAACAAGCCACGAAGAAGUUCGACCUGUGGUCACUGCCAAAUAUGCUCAUCAUCCACUUGAAGAGGUUCUCCUACAACAGAUACUGGAGGGACAAGAUUGAUGCUCUCGUUGAGUUCCCCACAGAAGGUCUUGAUUUACGGAAGUACAUCAUCAACCCAGACCAUGGCCGUGCUGUGUACGACCUCAUCUCUGUUUCCAACCACUAUGGGGGACUUGGAGGAGGACACUACACGGCAUUUGCGAAGAACAAGGAGGAGAAUGAGUGGCAUUAUUUCGACGACUCCAGCGUGAGUCAGUCCAGUGAAGAGGCUGUUGUGACAAAAGCUGCGUAUGUGUUGGUGUAUCAGAAGCGAGAACAAAAAAUGCCCCCGCCGCCUGUGCCUGCAAAAAACCAAAUCAGCCACUGUGACUACAGCGUCUGCCAGCUCUGCAGCUGAGGCAGAGACAUCGUGUUGCACCAAUGGACUUGAAUCUCCAGACAGUGCUCAUUGCAAUGAUAUUGAGAUGGAUACGUCGACAUGAUACCCUCCUGCAUAGAUGAUCGUUACCAAAUGAACGCACCUCCCUGGUACCACCCAUCUCACCACGGAUUCCUUCAACAAGUGUAGAGGAGACCAAAAUACAGGGCAAGAAAUAGAUACAAUGCUAGAGAAAGGUACCACAAUUGUACAACACUGCUUCAGACAAGCUACAUUUCUUUGGAAGUAAACCAAGAUAGACUAGGAACAGUUGACAAGCUUCCACAAGGAUAUAUACAGUAGAGAGAUAGGUGACACUCCUAGCUGUGCAGGACCUUGUUCCAGGACAGGAUGGUGUUGCCCGAUGAUAGCACCACAUCAUCUGAAACUAUUGACAAUAUACGAUCUGGAUUCUAAUGAAGAUUUAGUGUUCAACAGAUGUUUCCUUUGCCUCUGUGUGAGAUAUUUUAGCAAGUUAAGAAUCUACUGGGAUGUCAAGUGCUGUUCUGUGUCAAAUACCACACUUCUUUCAUGUAAGGGUCUCCAUAUAGGGCAUCCAGUUGUUCUGUUAUAGAUGUCUGGUAGCGACCUUAGUGUCUCAUAGGUUUGUUACACACACCGGAGCUAGAAGAUGGAAAUUGAGGCUCUUUAUUUGAAGAAAUAUAUCUCUACCUAAAAUACCAAUGUCAAACCAGACACUUUCAAAUAGUGUUUCUGUUGCUUUUUGGCUUGCCCUUACUGAGAAGCAGUCAUUAAGAAGUGUUAAAUGUUUCAACUGCAACUCUUUAAACGGUCAUUCUUUCUAUUUGGGAUACUGACUGAUGUCUCAAGUGCAUGAUGCUUCCACGAUGAUCGUGGUGGCGGGUUGUCAUUCAUGUAGAACAGUACCCCCAAGGUCAAGGUCAACUGAUGAUCGACAAAUGUACAUAGCAAGUGUGUGAGUGACAGUGUCUCCAGAUAACACGUGAUAUCGACAAUGGUGCACAGGGCCUGGUGAAGAUCUCUCCGGCGGCCGCUGUGAUACUGUGCUGUAUUUAAGCCGUAGAUGUGUAUAUACAUGUAUAGGUGUCUCCCUGGUUAAAUAUCCUGUGUGAAUGUCGAGAGUGGCAAUUAUUUAUUGUUUCUUUGAACAACAUUAAUGUUUUUUAUACAGUGGACUUUCCUAUAACAGUGACAGUAUGUGUCUUGUCGUGUUGGAUAUUUGUUGAUUUCCCUAGCACUCUGAUGAAUUUUUUUUGUUAGAGUGCUAGCGAUAACAUAUUUUCUUAUUUGUACCUUCAAGAUACCCAUUCUCAUGUGUCAGCACUUUCCUCUUGAGUAAUUUUAUAGUUGACUUGCCCUUCUCUUUUUGCUAAUCAUUAAUUUGAAGUGGUAAAACUAGAGUAAGCAUUUCUAAACGGGUCUUGCAUGUUGCUGUUAUUCAACAUUGAUAUUUUUUCUAAUGUAAAUAAAAGAUUCACAUAACAAGCAAAAAUUUGUAAAAUGGUACCAUUGUUUCUUUUAAUAAAUUAAAUAUUUUAGUUACAAUAAAUAUUUAAAAACAUGGAAUAUUUAUCCAAAUAUUUGUGAUUUUAACUCACAAGCCAUUUAUAACACAUCAUCUAGGACAAUAUGAUUGUCUGUUCAUCUCACUGUCUUGUAUAUUCUCGUCACCAUGACGACACAGAUUACCUUCAUAAUAUUUUGUUAUAAUAUAAACCCAAUUAUGUAUGUAUGUGUACUAAGUCUGUAUGAUGACAAAAACACUUCCUGUCAGUCUGCUAAACCACUAUUUCACUAAAAUGGAACACAGAUACCGUGGUUACACAAUUUUAUGCUAUAUUUAUUUUUCUAUUUUUCAGUAAUUUGCUUAACUGAUCUGCGAGGACACAUUAUAGCCUAGUCAAGUGAUGCUUGGCUUAUCUAGCAGCUAAACUUUCCUAAAUCAAGUCCAAGAUGUGACGUUUAUAUUCCUGUGAUGUGCUGGUCACUGGUCACAUCAGUCAUGACCUGUUAAGGUAGUACCAUUGACAAAGAAGACAGCUCUGCUAUACGACAGUGGUGAUAUAACUCGGAGUAUAACUCGCUUACAGUAUAUAUGCAUGUUCAGUAAAAAUAGCAAGUAUAUGACUGUACAGCUAUUUAACAGUUUGAAUGAAUGUUCCAUUAUCCAGUCAUGUUUGUAACUUUCUUGAGACGUAAAUUGUAAAGAGAUAGUAAUACUUGCUUGCAUAAACUAUAAAGUGUUCGAUGGUGCUAUUGCCUUGUGAAGAUAACCAGUGAUAUGCUGUUGUCCGGGCAUGGAAUCGUACUUCUCUAUUUUAAAUACAAAGUAUCAUUAAGGAUUCAAAGUUCAUGGUUGAUAUAGUGUUGAGAACAAAUUAUACUUUCAGUAAAUGUUUAAUAUCUGGUGUAGCUGUUUGGUGACAAUGUUUGUCCGUAAUGGUGACACGUCGGUGAAAAAGUGGUCUCGCAGUUUUUCACUCACAUGCGAAAAUUUAUCUACCAUGCAUACAGAUGCAGUCCAAUGUUUUCUGGUGUGUCAUAAGUAGACAUUACUUUUAUAAUCAUAUUUGAUAUUUUAGCUGACAUUGCUUGGCUUUUAAAGUAUAAAUAACCAGGUAUUCUUUGACUGAAGUUACUCAAUAAAUGUGCAUGCUUAAGUCAAUACAGAGAGUUAGAUACGGACUGCCAUGAUUGAUUAACUGAUUGAACCUUUUGUGACAGUGUCAUGGUGGAGAUCUCAAGGAAAGGGUGGAAUUAAGCCAGUACAUCAGUGAACAAAAAUUAACUUGCACAUUCUCUAAAUUACAGAAUAAACCCAAGUAUUUGUCAGCUGGUGUCUCGGGGUUUGUGUGAGUUAUCUUGUUGCUCCUUCACCCUCAAGUGUUACAAGUGCUGUGUGAUUUGAAAUCCUUUACUGCUGUUCUUGAAGCAUGUUUGUAGUGGGUGACACUCUAAAGUCUUGCCAGUAGUCAGGCCUCAUUCGUGGCAGUAGGACAUCACUCUACAUAGCAGUCUGGUAAUCAACCAGACAGUACAUUGUUUGACAGGACGCUUGAACUACGCAAGGCAAGAAGGCAUUUUACCAGAUACUUUCUGCCAUAUUUGGAACCAUCUUAAUUGAACCUUUGUUUUGCAGGUGUUAUCUUAACCUCUGAAAUAGCAGUGUUAAGGUCUUGCUCCCCACAGACUUGUAAUAAAAUAUUUCCCAAAUAACUGGGUGUGACCACAGAAAAACUCCUACCAUUGCUUCUGAUGAGUGGAAUAGGAGGCUUUCAUGUGCCAUUAGGAAACUUGUGUUCAAUUUUUGUUCUGCAGAUUGGUUCCUUUAUUUUUUCAAAUAUUCAGUCAUCAAACUUCACAGCAUCAAACAAGCAGUGGGUAGGUAUCUGGUGAAGUGCAUGUGUGUCCUAUUCAAGGCUAUCUCACUGUUCCUCCAUAUGAAGAGUGGCCAUUACUACUUAGAGUAUAUUAAAGUGGGAGCAGUACAACAGCUGAUGACGAUGUGUUUGUUUCAAGACAUCCCGCCACUGUGAUAUGCUCUGAGGGCAAGACAUGGUCCUUUAAAUACAGACAUGCUUGGUUCUCCAUUAAGCAUCAUCCCACCAAUGGUGUUUGAGUUACCAUGGUCGAUUUUGUGUGGGGGAUAGAUGAAUACACCAAAUUGUUUUUAAAACCAAUGUGUGCAUUGUGGAAUUGUUGAUAGCCUUGGACUGUUUCUAUGGCAAAUUUCACAUGCAAAUGUCAACUUAUAUCUCCAUGUAUGAUUUCUAGAAAUAAUAAAUCUGUUCUCUGUA